GCCUGGGUGGCUCAGUCGGUUAAGCAUCUGACUUCGGCUCAGGUCAUGAUCUCGUGGUCUGCGAGUUCGAGCCCCGCGUCGGGCU
This is a transfer RNA of Felis catus (domestic cat), 85 nucleotides long. It matches the Rfam family "tRNA". Rfam says of the family: Transfer RNA (tRNA) molecules are approximately 80 nucleotides in length. Their secondary structure includes four short double-helical elements and three loops (D, anti-codon, and T loops). NCBI's taxonomy places the organism in Eukaryota, Metazoa, Chordata, Mammalia, Carnivora, Felidae. The record is from Rfam.